AUGCGCCCCAAGUCUCUGCCCCUCUCGGGGGCCACAUGUUCUUCCUCCGCCCCCCAGUCCGCGGAGGCCGCCCCAGCCUGCAGCUCCCCGGAGCCAAGCCUGACUCCACCGCGCACCCCAGACCCACCCGGCAGGGAUCGCCCCAGAAACGGCAGCUGUGGGUUUCAUCAGUGUCCUCGGGAAGAGGGGGGCAGGGAAGCGACUGUCCGGGCCCGGGUUAGGGGGAGCCUCUCCUCGGACGCGGCGCACGCAUCUCUGGAGCUCGAAGCUCAGUUCCUGUUUGCUGACGUCCCUUCUAUGGACAGCCCUGCCCUGCUGAGCCCUCGGCUCCAGCAUUCUGCUAAGGCUUCCGGAUGCUGCUGUGCUCCUGAUCUUCAACCCUUGGGUCCUCCUUUGGAUCCUGGAAAUCCAAUGCACCCCGGCCCGUGCCUGCAAUCUCUGGAAGGUGAUAAUGACUCCUACUGACCGGGCAAGAUUCCCUCAUUGUCCCACACCUCUCUGAUCUUGUGUGGCACACUAUGGAUAUUAUAAUAUUACUCCACUGAGCACAGACAAUAUGCCGGACACCACACCAAGCCUCAAGAUCAGCACAAUACACAGACUCACUCCAUGAGGCAGAAACUACUAAUAUUCUCUUUAAAGAGAUGAAGAUAUAGAAUACAGAAAAAUUGAAUAAAAUACUUAAGGUCUCCAUGCAUUAAAUGUUGAGCUGAAUAUUCAAAUCCAGCUUAUUGAUUAAGGCUAAUUCUGCUUUUGAAUUAUCUUCCCUAUGGAAAUAAACCUCUUUUCCGGAAGGUCUAAGUCUUGACUGAUCUUUAUAUUCCCCGCUGAGCCUGUUGUGUUACCUCUAGCAGUCUGGUCACUCGAUUCAUAUUUAUUUGAAUAAAUGGUUAAGUUAAAUCAUCUAGCUAACAUUUCUUAUCUUUUCCUCUCCUUACUAAACAUGUCUCUGAGUCCCACCUUUCAAUCUUUCUGUGGCUUUCAAUUUUAGGUUUAAUUCUAUUUUAAAUUUUAGUGAGAAGUUAUGGAGUAGAUUAGGAUGUGUCUGAUUGAAUUAAAAUAUUUUGGCCUAUCAGAUCAUUCUCUUUUAUUUUGAGGAUAGCUUCAAUGUGGCUCAGUGGUAAAGAACCUGCCUGCCAAGCAGGAGACUCAGGUUCGAUCCCUGGGUCAGGAAGAUCCCCU
This 1182-nucleotide long non-coding RNA is filed under the name Capra hircus (goat). RNAcentral's name for it is "lncRNA (ENSCHIG00010026813.1)". The stretch from base 1111 to 1166 matches the Rfam family "tRNA", at positions 8 to 63 of the family's 71-position model. The record is from RNAcentral. Lineage: Eukaryota; Metazoa; Chordata; Mammalia; Artiodactyla; Bovidae.